CCAGGAAGCCCAUUUUUGUCAAGAACUCCAGCCUCUGACGGUCUGUUGGCUGCACCUCGCAGAACACACCCUGAGAUCCUGCACACACAGAAAAGAUCCUUGAGCCAGUGAGCACUAAUGCUAAUAUCGACAAAAGAGUCCUCCAGAGAAGGUUUUCACACGCUGCACAGAGCAGGAACAGAUGCCAUGCAAUCGCUUCUACCUUCAUACACCUGUGGCUGCAUCCAAAGUGGGACUGUCAGUGUGCACCAUGACGCACAGAGUGGGCAGAUCAGUCCUCCACAGAUGUCAGGGACUGACUGUCCCUGUUGCUCACCACCGGCUCUGUCUGGCUCUUUGCCUGAGAUCACUCAACUCUUUGUCAUGGUGGAUGACGCUGGAACCAAGCGCAGUAUCUCACCCCAUUUUUCGACAAAAAUACCGUACUAAUUCCGUCACAGAGGGAUCCAGAUGGUGUAACUGCAGGUGGGUAUUUGUCCCUCAUGGCAGGCAUCCAGCUGGCCUGACACCGCUUGGCAAAGGAACGAACAUCCAAAAUGCCCAACACACAGCCACACGCACCCAGCUCAUCCUCCAGGAUGAAACAG
This is a long non-coding RNA of Perca fluviatilis (European perch), 587 nucleotides long. RefSeq lists it as uncharacterized. The record is from RefSeq and is a predicted model, not a curated record. NCBI's taxonomy places the organism in Eukaryota, Metazoa, Chordata, Actinopteri, Perciformes, Percidae. The transcript has 5 exons.